UCUGGUUGUCACUAAUACAAGCCUCUAAUACAGAUUUAUAACACUUGUACUAAGAUAUCUUGUAUGCGAAAGUAAGCAUAAGAUAAUAAGAAACAAAUCUAGGUACGCUUGAAGUUUGUUCGUCACUACCUUGAUCUCCAUAAUGUCAAUGCAGUAAGAAAUGAUAUAUAAACUGCUACUCGACCCAAUACCUACACAAAGUGCAGAAAAUAAGAAAUAGAAUAGAAAAGGCAAGGGUGAGUAUGAAAAUCCCGGUGUACUCAGCAAACUGACCCUUAUCCAAAAUAAUGGUGAGUAUCACCACACCGGCUACCCAAUGUAACGCCCCAAAAUAUCCUUCCGAAAUGUCACACGGUGCUUAAGGUUACAAGUAGCCCCAAGCUAACCCUUUAAGCCUAUUACUACAUAUAAUAACUCAAUUCGAGAUGAAAUAAACAAAACACUGGUACUGUAUAUCAAAUGAUAGGAAAUACGAAGAAAAUACUCAGUCCAAACAACCACAAGAUUGGAAAUCUCAACAUACUAACAAUCUGAUAACUAGUCUGAUAAAGACUCUACUACUCAAGUCUACUAGAGAGCCAUUGGGACAGGUCCCAACUGACUCAAACUAAACUGAAAGCAAUAAUAUGUCUACUAACAAUACUGAAAUGUCUGAAGAUAGGUCCUCGAACCAUGAAGACUCACCACUGUAGAGAUGUAGACAAAGGUACUCAGAAAUCACUGACGAGGCUGGGACUGAGCACCUGAACCUACAUUGUAAGACAAUGUAGCACAUAGACGUAUAUGUGGAUCAGCACUUGGGAAUGUACUGAGUAUAUGGGGGUGUAUGCAUGUACAUAAAACAAUAUCCAUGCUCUUUAAUCAAAUCAUGCAUGCAAAUAUGAAUGACUCACAUAUCUUAAAUAAGUCUAAUAUAAUAAGUUCAUAAGUCAUGUAGAAUGAAGCAUGUAACACAAAUCUCGUGAGUCAUUACACUUUAGCUUUAAAAUCUGAACUCUUCUCUUAUUCUCAUUACUCGAAGACUAAAGAAAGCUUUAAACGAUACUUUCCAACUCAUGCAUAUAUCUCAUGGAUAGUAAAACUUCUUUAAUACUCAAGAACUUAGAACUCUUUUAUACUCAAGACACUUGGAACUCGAAAUUCUCUAACUCUUACUAGUAGAGAAAACUACUUUCUUCUUGGGAAAAUUUUACUUCAAGAAACUAUUUUGAAAAUCUUACUAUUAGGGAAAAUCACUUAUCUCAAAGCUUUAGGAAAAAUAUUCUAUCUCAAGGGAAAAUACUUUAGGGAGGUUCUCUUAACCGACAUAAACCAUGCGGGCUACAUGAAAUCCAACAUCUUGUCCUCCUAAGAAAGAAAUCUCACGUUGGGGAGAGGCGUCAUACUCUUGCCAGGGAGUAUAACCUCAACUCAGUGAUCACUUAUCUCGGCCCCGGGCCCAUAAAUCUCAAUCCUACGGUGGCACGUAGUUCUGGGGUAUGAAACCGUAGUAACUUACCCAACUCGGUGCUAAAUACUACUCCCUUUAGUUAGCUACGCUCAUCUCAGGAAAAUCCACUUUAAAAUAAUCUCGUGGUUCAUAAGAACCCAACUAUAAAAUUUGUGGUCUCAUUUGGUAAAAGUGGAUUUCAAAGCUACUAUGACCAUUAAGGUCAAAACUUUCUCAAUGAUCUCAAAAUACUCAAAUCAUGGGUGCGUAUAGCACAAAAGUUCAUAAAAACUGAAAUCUCAAGUAGGGUUUAAUGACCCAUAAUCAAAACUCAAGUUAAGACUCAUCAAAAUGCAUACUAGAUGUCAUAAGGAUACACAAAUCAUAUAGAAAUCUGGAAUGUUCAACAAUUUCACUUAAAAUCUCAACAUACUCAUGUACUUCAAUUUCUAGAACAUUGGCAAAUCUCAAAAUCUCAUGCAAAGUAAUGUUGGGUAUGAACCCACACUUCAAAUUCAUAGGAGAACUCAUAAAGUCAUGUAUCUUUGUAAUUUAAAACAAGUUUUGGGCACAAGGACGAAAGAAUUGUCCUUGUUCAAACCCCACAUACCUUAGAUUGUGAAACUAGAUGAACAACCUUUCUUAAAACUCUUCUUCUUACUCUUUGAGAGAGGUUCUUGAAGCCUUGGACAUGGGGAACUCGAAUCUCAACUCAAUUUGUAGAAUCUAUGGUGAGUUCUUGAAUUUCUUGGAGAAGGGUUUUGGGUUUGUUCUUGAUUUGUUCUUGAGGAAGAAACCCUAGCCUUUGGAUGUUUUGGGAGAUAAUGAAGUCAUAUGUUUCGUUUUGAAUAUAUCUAAGUGUUAAAAGGGGAAAAAGGCCAAAAAGUCCUUUUAAAACGACUUAAAAAUAAUGAACGGGAUUUGGACAGUCGGAGUGACGGUUCGUCGCUAGUCUGACGGUCCAUCGGAUCGUCCGUUGCACGUUGGUCAGAAAAAGGCCACAUUGCCUUAGUUGAGACGGUCCUAGCAAUGGUCCGUCGCUAGCUUGACGGUCCGUCGUCUUGGUGAUCGCACUUGGGCCAGAAGAGGGAGUCACUACCUUGGUUGCGAUGGUUCAAGCGACGGUCCAUCGCAAACUCGAUGGUCCGUCAACCUGUCCGUCGCACCUGGGCGGUUCCGACAACUCUUAGUAAAACGGCCAUAACUUCUCACCCCGAUACCGAAUUUGGACGAAAUUGAUAUCGUUGGAAAGCUAAUUCAAUUUUCUACAUGACAAAAAGUCAAUAUUAGGAAAAUUCUACACUGUUUAAAAUAUUUCUCACUUGGGAAGUCAGUCCUUACUCUUCUUAAAGAUGAAACUCGACUUAAAGAAAAUCCGGGGUAUUACACCCAAAAAAUCAAAUUAAUCUAAAACCCACUAAAACAUAAUACUUAAUCCUAUCAGGGUAACCUAAAACAACAAUUAACAAUCAUAACUAGAAUAAGAUAGGCCCUAUAACCUAAGUGAGUCAACCCUAGCCACUUCAUGAUCCACAGUUAGAGAGAAGUACUUAUACAAAAGACUCACUACACAAUAUAUACAUUUCAAACUCAACCAUAGGAUAUCAAUCAAUAAUUAUGGGAUCAAACAAGGAGAAAAUAUAUAAAAAUUCAAUAACAUAUCAUUGAAGGUGCAAUCCAACAAACUCUCAGAUUAAACCAUAGCCUUAACCCAAGUCUCAUAAUAUCUGAACCCCAAAUCCAUAUAAGAUGAUGUAAAGUAAUGCAAUAAAGUGAAAUAGAUUCUUAAAACACAAUAUCACAAACAAAUUUCUAGCAUGAUAAUACAGUACAAAAGUAAACACUAACACACUAUCAACCAUACCGAAAAGGAUAAUGUAAUGCAAUAUAGUGAUGAUAACAAGGACGAUGAUGGUGUGAUAUGCUCAAAGUUAUUGCAUAACCUCCGUAUACACCUACUGAGCACUACUCCCGAAGUAUGACCCAUGGGGGGUACGUAACCCAUAAAAUCUCAAUAACUAAUCUAGUCUCAGUUUUCAUAUCUCUUCACCGAUUUGUGAAUUUCGAUAGAGGGUUUCUGAAGGUGUCAUAUAUUUAUCAGAAAAAUCAGUAUUCACAAUCGUAUCAAUGUUUCAUAAAUGUAUGUAUGAUAUGAGGACGUAAUGUUCACAACCAAACCAGUAUAAAGAUCUUGAAUUCAUUUAUCACAUAUACAUAUGAGAUCAGAAUCCACUCAAUAAGUCAACCAUCCAUGAUUUAAUAUAAACAAUGUGCCAUUGGAACAAUCAUACACGUAAGUCAUCAUUAAUGUCAUUUUAAGCCCCCACUCGGGCAUUAUGUCAACUACCAAGGCACAAAAUGCACAUACAAGGUCAAUAAUAAUAAAUCCCCCACACAGGGGCAACACACAACGAAUAUCAUCUCAAGUCGCCAAAAAUAAUAAUAUAAGCCUCCACACAGUGUUACAAUAGUAGUGAUAGAUGAUUAAGACCCCACAUAGGUGUACAGACCUGAUUAAUUGCUCAAGUCCAUAAAAAUUUCACACAAGUUCCACAUGGCAACAUAGAAUAAUACAAAUCCUAAUAACAAUAUUUUGUGAAACUACCUAAACCUAGCUCGUUCAUACGUUAAGCCUUAAUGACUAAGAUAGGCUCAUUUAUACUCUAGGCAUUAUCUAAGGCCCGAUCAUUCUAUCAUUUCAAUAAUAACAUCGCUAAACAUUAAUCAUCACAAUAAAGGCCGUCGUACAAGUUCUAAAGCUCCAAAGUAAGCAUCCAAGAAUAAUAAUCCAAACGUAAGUUAUUAACUAAAAUCUAUUCUAAGGUUAUCUACAAGCAAUAAUACUAACUAACUAAGGAAAUAACUAACUACAGUCCAUUAUUAAGACUCUGGUACACGAAGAUGCUCACCAUGUCAUCUAAGAGGGACCCCAGCCUACAAAAAUCAUGAUAUACCGACAAUUAAGCAAAUAACACAUAAACACUUUGAAAAAAGAUCAAGGUAUAUUUCAAUUUGCCUAACUUAAGAUCCACAAAUUCAAAUUCUGCAUAAAUACCCAACCGGAAUCUCAAAUCCUUUGAAAUAUAUCCAACUAUGAGCAAUCUAUCAAAUAUGAUAUCUACACAUAAAAAAACCAAUGAUACCUAUAUUGACUAUAUUCAAGAUAGGUCUAAACACGUACCCCAAAAUGGGUUCAAGAACAAAAGGGGUAAAACCAUAAUUUUAUUUAGAAAUAUGUUCCUCAUACUCAUACGAAUCUACAACUGAAAACCCAUACGAAAAUGAGUUAAAAACGAGACUUAAAUCAAAGAAAAUCCAUUUUAAAGCUUUACCAGCAAAAAUUUCUAAAACCCAUUUUGAAAUCAAGAACUUUGAAGUUGUUUUGAAGAUGAAAUCAAGGGAAAAUGAUAAGUAUAAGAUUAGAAAACUUAUUAAUGGAAGAAAUCUCAAAAACUCCUUUUAAAUCGCCCAAAUCUGAGCUUUCAAGCCCCCAAAAUAGUAAAAAUGGGGUUUUGAUUCUCAACUUGGGUAGAAAUCACAAAAAUAAAAUAUAAGUUCUUGGUAAAUCGGAGAAAUGAAUUUAUAAAUUGAUAAACAAUGACUAUACGAGAAAAACACAUUGAGAAUCGUCCAAAUCAGAAUUUCCUAGCUCCAAAAAUGUCAAAAAUACGAAAUAGGUUCAUCUUGGGUCUUAUACAUCAACGAUGGUCACAAAUGUGACACAGAGUUGCUUUUGCGACCUGGUCAAAUGAUCAAAGUAUUGCUAAAGCGGUUAAAAGUUCCUUUUUGCGAUCACACCAGCACCAACAAUUUCAUAAACUUAUUUUUUACCCCCGAAACUCAUUCAAAACCCUAUGAACAUGAUUCAAUAGUGCAAAUUGAUUGUAAAACACUUUCCGAAUCUAGUAGAAUCAUCAAAUUUAUGAAAAAUGUCAUAAUCACAAAAUUGACUCCCGUUUACACUAUUACAAACCAACCUUACUUCUAACCCAAUUUUAUUCUGAAUCAACUAAUGUAGUUUGUUUUGUCAUUCGGGUCUCGAAUCUCGAUAUAUUGACCAAAACCAACUAUUAUCUCUUAAAGCCUCAAAAUGACCUCCACUCACUCAAAACCUUCCCAAAGGACUUGAGAACCGUGCCAACUAUUCCGCAGCCUAUAAAACAGAUAGCACAACCAUGGAGAGGGGUGAAAUGAUCAAAACACAUAAAAGGAAAAAUCAUCCAAAUUGAGGUAAUUACAAUAUCCACCACUGAGAUUCAUGAUUGUCCUCAAAGUACAAGAAAGAAAGCCAAAAAAGUAAAGGGUGAAAAAAUACUAACAAAAAACAUCAACAAACACUCCAAUAUGGAGUCACAACCAUAGAACUACCAGUCACACCAUGUAGCCAGAAAUCUAUCAUAUAAGGACUCACCAGGUUAUAACACAAGCAUCAACAAGUUAAAUCGUCAAUAAAGCCAAAUUUCUAAUAUUGAAACUUCCUCUAUCUCAAUGACUAAGUCCAACACAACAAAAGUUUGAGAGAUGCACGACUAAUUUUAAACCUGACCAAGGCAACACUAGACACUGGCUACAACCACAAGACCAAAAAUCAUCCUUGGACCACAAAAUCCAAGGAAUCCAUAAAACACAAAACUACCCAUCAAAACUCUAGCUCAACCUACCUGAGGCCGAUAGUAUCACUAUCAACUCACACAAUGCUAUAGCUACAGAAAAAACUGCAAAGAUGAAAUCCAAUCUCAAAACUAUACCAAAACUUAAAAGACCACACUUAGCACUCAUAGGCCACUAAUCCACCAUCACACCCUUAUUCUCAACCCUUAAGUUAGGCGAAAAACACUAAUAAAACUCUCUAUGCCAAGGAUGUGAUAUUUUUGAAAGACAUCAAAUAUACAUGCAACCCAUCAUGAUGCCACAUGCAGUCCUCAAUAUUCAAAAACCAUCAAACAACCUGAAGUCCUAAAAACUUUGAUGUCUAUAUACCAUGGACACAAAAUCUAUAAAAAAAAACACAGAAUGCUUAAGCAACUCAUCAUAAUAUUCCAUGCAAUCAUUAGUGCUCAAGUGACAUCAGUCAUAAUUUGAUAGACAAAAGCCUCUAUAACUGCACACACAUAAGUAACCUGUUACAAUAGAGUCAAUCAAAUCAUGGAGAAAAUGCAACAACUACUAUAACUCUCUAAAAAAUUCUCAAAUCUCAAUCAAAACUCGGGAGGAGUCACCACUAGACUCUGCACAGCUACCAGUGAACUGCCUUAUAAAACCUCAAAUUUCUACCUCAUGCCCGCAGCUAAAUGCCGAAUAUAACAAAUUUACUUAAGCAUGAAGAUCUUUAUCUUUUUCUUAACUCUUGUCCCAUUCAGUAACCCUUAAUAUAAAAAUCGUAAAUUAAUAAGAUAUAACUUCAACCUUCUCAAUUCCCAUUCAUCAUUGCUUGACACAACAUCCACAAAAAUAAUACAUACUCAAAUCAAAGCUUAUAAGAAAAAUAUUCCCCCAAGCGACUUAGCUACAAGAGUAACGAAUGCUACACACUAGGUACCUAUUUUCAUACAAAAAUCUUCCCCAAGCAAAAAGCAAAAGUCUUCAUGAGCUGAAUUCUUCAAUUGGAUCGAAGAGUGUCUCGAUACCAAAUAUCUUAUCCAAGCAAGCAAAAUCUAAAUAAUAAGGAAGUAGCAAAUCACAAGGCCCAAAUGCCUGAAAUAUUUUCUUAACCAACAAAAAUUCUUUACUCACCAUCCUUUCAACUCUAGCAUACCACAAGUCUAGGCUAUUACUAGGUCUACAACUAAUGAGUACCACUAGGCACGCUACAAUCCGUGAUGCCAAAACCAUAAGAUCAAAUCAUUCAGCAUUCUAAAAGUACACAAACACCUUAGAAUAGAUCCACCACUACUUCAGAAAAUAACCAUCACGAACACUAUAUCAAAGAAAUUUCUCCAAACUCAGUGAUAAACUUUGAAUGAGUUUCCAACAUAGGAUCGGCACACCCGAUCCACCACUAAGAAAAUAUCUAUGGGUAGCAAACAUCAAAAACUCCAGCAACAACGACAAAUCAUACCAAGACCCAAAUUUGAACAAAUAAAUAGAUAGGAAAAUAUAGAACCACAGUCAAACAUCACUAAGGCAUAACAAAGGUAUACCAAGAACCAUACAUGUGGUUACUGCCGCACUUUAUUUCUCGUAAAAGUGAGAUUCGAUAUGACAACUCUUUUUGGGAUGAUUUAAGAGUGAAGAGUCACCACCUGAUGAAUUAAGGUGCAUUAGGGCACCAUUCUAAGCUAAUUAUGAACCAGGUAAUUAGUCUACGUCACUAAAGUUUGGGCAAGGGUUCAAAUUACCUCAAAAGCAAGGUGUUAGGCACCUUUCAAUGUCCACAAAUGUGGUUUCUGACUAAAUUCAUAUUAUACGCGGGGGAUUCUACGUGAUUAACAAAAGGUCAUUGUAAUACCCCGCAAAAUACUAGCUUAACUCAGCCCUUUAGAGCAUGAAAAGAGGCCCAAAACUUAGAAAUUUUAGCUAAGUGUUUAUACUUAAAAUUAUUUUUAGCCUUCAUAAUUUGGUGAUCUCAUUUUACGACCCUUAUAACCUUAAAAUGUCAAUCUUUGGAUUGAAUCAUGAUCAGGUAUGCCAAUAGGUCACUUCGGGUGAGUUUCAAAUUUUUUGAACAUCGUUUGAAGCAUGUUAGGGUGACCAAAAUAGUGGGUCGAUGCAAUCUCGACGUGUCACAUCGCCCAUCGCAUAGACGAAUAUUUUCCCCAGCACUGAGUGCAAAUUUCAGUAACCCAACACGAACUCAACGCGGUGUGUCAGCCAUCGUAUCGACACCAUCAAUGCGGUGUGUCGAUAUGUGCGUUGCUGGGCACGUUUUUAGAAAUUAAAAACCUACAUCCAGAGGGGUAAUUAGGUCUUUUACCCACCCUUAUUCAGCCCCAAAAACACGAGAUUAACCUACGCUAAAGGCUAAAUCACUCAUUCUAUCUCAAAUUUUCUCAAGAACAAACCCUUGGGCAUCCAAUUUCAAAUUUAAUCUCCAAGAACACACCACCAAUCUUCACAAAUUUGAUUACCAAGGUAUGUUAGGUGUUCAUCCAAGGGUUUCCUUCCACCCUUGGAGUUCAAGAACCUCUUUUUUAAACUACAAGUUGAUUGAUUUCAUGAAUUCCAUGUUGAAUUCGAUUUUAUUCAUGAUUAUGAUGUUAUUUGGGUUUUUAAUCUAUGAUUUAUUACAAGCUUCAUGUGAAGUAAUUAAUAUGUGUGUAGUGUUAUGUAGAUUUAUGUUAAAAGCCCCUUGAAUUUGUGAGUUCAAAUUGUGAUCAUGAUGCUUGCAUGUUGGUUAUUAUUAUGUGCAUAAAUUAUGCUCCCUAAGUGUUUGAUAAAACGUUCAUGUGAGUUGAAGGGUGAAAUCAUGACAUAAUAGUAUGUGCACAAGUUCAUGCCUCUCAAGUGUUUGACAAAAGUUCUAAAUGAAAGCAUUCUUAACAAGCUACUAUUGUUAUGCUAUUAUGACCAUGCCAUGUUUUACUUUCAAUGCUAUCGAGUCCUGGGAGUAUCCAAUACUCAAAAUCUAGCUUUUUACCUAGAAUUUUAGUAGCUACAAAAUAGUCUCAGUAAUGUCACGAAUAGUAGUACUCAAUCAGUUAUAGAACUCAGUGAACUCAGUCCAGUUCAGUUAGACAUCACGAUCAAUAACAGUUCAGCCAAGCCUAGAAUAGUCUAGAAAAUAGUUCAGUGUCUAUUCAGUUGGGAGUAGGAAUCAACACCGAGUGAACCCAGGGAUGGGGGUAUUUCUGCCAGUAGAGGGUUUGACCCUUAAUAGUAAUCCCUGCAUUGUAGAACUAUGUAGCCAGCGUAGGUUGAGAUAUCUUCCUGUCAGACAAGGGUUGAUACAUCUCGUACGAGUUUUCCUGCUAGUGAGGGUUGACAAUUGUUUUCCUACCAGAUAUGGUUAACUCACAACCAAUGUUAGUAUCCCUUGGUAAGGUGCUAACACCCUUCCAAUUGGGGUCACUGGUUGGACCCCAGCUCAGUUUAUAAUCAGGGUAUAUUGGUUAGAUAAACACCCCCACCUUUACAGUUUUAGUUUCAAACUUAGUAUAGAACUCAAUUCAGUUCUACAGAAUCAAAACUGUCAGACAUAGUCACCUAGCUCAGUAUAGAACUCAAUUUAGUUCUAUAGGAUCAGUACUGUUAAAAACAGUCACCCAGCUACCAGUAAUACAGUUAUCAGAAAAAUUUAGAUAUCAGUCAUUUAGUUAUCAGAACUCAGAUCUCAGUUACAGUAUAUGUAGUUAUGUGCACAGUAUUGUAUAAUCAGUGUUUUAGCAAUUUUAGUCAUAAAUGUACUCUCAUCCAGUUAUAUUCAUAUUAUUCAGCCAGUUAUUGUUCAUGCAUAUGAACCCUUGCAUAUCAGCCUACCUCACUUAGCAUACCAGUAUAUUUAAAAUACUAAUGCAUACUCUUUCUUUUGCGCUAUGAUGUCUUAAUCAUAGGUUCAGAUGCAAAGGCUCCUGGCCGUACUUAGCAACUCAGACUAUCAACAGCAGAUAUAGUGGUGAGUUCUUAUAGUUUGAGGAUAGAGUUAUCAUUUUAGUUUUUUUUUUUAGUAGUUCAGUAUGUUCAGUAGUCGGAGUUAGUUGGAGACUUGUCCCAUCAACUCCAUAUUCAAACAGUUAGAGGCUUUCAGACUAGACUAUUUCAGAUAUAUGUUUAGUCUUUAGUAUUCAUUUAUCAUUAUUCACUUUCAGUUGUGAAUCUUAUGGCAAAUUUCAGCCUAAUUUCUGUAUUACUUCGGUAUUAUUAUGCAGUGUAUAUAGCAGGUACCAGUCAUGGGUUAGCUUGUGGUCCUUCAGGAUUGUAAACACCGUGUCACGCCCAGGGUACAGACUUGGGGUACUACAAAUUUGGUAUCAGAUCCCAAGGUUCAACAAAUUCUUAGGGAGUCUGAAAGCCGCGUCUAGUAGGGUCUUGUGCAUAGGUGUGUAGUGUGCCACACUUAUGGACAAGAGGAUAUGAGGUAUUUUAUGAAUAAGUUCCUUUCUUUCAGUAUUCAUAUCGUGCGAGUGAGCAUGAGCUCAAAUUAAACUUUCUAUCUAAUCCAAUGUUUCUUUCUAUUUAUAGAAUAUGCCUCCAAAAAGGACUAAUGGAAGAAGAAUUGGAAAUCAGCCAGCACCUUCGCCCGUUCAGGCAGAUCCCCUGGACGAGCAUGUCUCCCAUACAGAAUUCAGAGAAACUUUCACCACUCUAGCUCAUUCUGUAGCAGCCCAGAAUGAACUCCCAGUUGCCGUUCAGGCCAACUAAGUGGCCACUACUGCUGCAGCUAGAAUUCGGGAAUUCACCCAAAUGAAAUAUCCUUUAUAGGGUCUAAGCUUGAGGAGAACCCACAGGAAUUCCUUGAAAUGGUGCAGAAAGUCACAGAUAUCAUCGAGGCGACUUCUAGUGAGAGUGUUGAGUUAGUUGUAUAUCAAUUAUAGGAUGUGGAUCAUACUGGUUUAAGCAGUGGAAGGUAGAUAGGGGUGCAAAUGCAGGGCCCGUAGAAUAUGAGGAGUUUGCUACUAUUUUCCUUGAUAGGUUCUUCCCACUAGAGUUGAGGGAAACUAAGGUUUUGGAGUUUAUUAAUCGGAAACAGGGCAAUAUGACAGUGAAAGAGUAUUCUUUCAAGUUUACUCAGUUAGCCAGAUAUGCCCCUCAUGUGGUAGUAGAUAGCAGAUCUAAGAUGAGUAAGUUUGUGUCAGGUGUGUCUAACAGUAUGGUCAAGGAGUGUAGGACCAUAAUGCUGAUUAAGGAGAUGGACAUAUCUAGGAUCAUGGUCCAUGCACAGUAGAUAGAAGAGGCUAAAAAUAAGGAUAAGAAGAGGAAGAAUAAGAGAGCUAGAAUAGGUAGCUUCAACUUUACUUAGCCCAAGUUAGAGAGUGGUAAUCAUUCUUAGUUCUGCCCAAAAUCUUCAUUUCCAGCUCUGUCCUCAGUCAGUGCUUCAGUGCCAAAAUUCAGAGAUGGCAAUAAAGAUAAGGCACCAGGCCCUAAACCCUAGGGUAGUGUUAGUAGUUUCUGAACAAAUAUUCUUCGCCAGAAUUGCGGCAGAAACCAUCAGGAUGUCUGUCGAGCUGGCAGUGAUGUAUGUUUUGGAUAUGGCAAGCCAGGACAAAGGGUCAGAGAAUGUCCUCAGGUGGGUUCGCAGAGUCAGCAUAAUCGUCCCCCAGCUUAGACCGAUCACCCGAAUCAGCAGGGUGCCACUUCUAGUGCCCCCAGUGGGCAACACCCAAACAAACUCUAUGCACUUUAAUCCCAAAAAAAUCAGGAAAGUUAUCCUGAUGUGGACACUAGUAUGUUACAAGUUUAUCAUUUACAUGUUUAUGCUUUUCUAGAUCCAGGAGCUUCUUUGUUCUUUGUAACUCCUUAUACAACUGUUGACUUUGGAGUCAGUCCCAAAAUCCUAGUAGAGCCUUUCUCAAUCUCUACCCAGUAGGUAAAUCUAUCAUAGUCCAGCGAGUAUACAGGAAUUGUCCGAUUAUGGUAUCUCAGAAAGUUACUUCAGCAGACUUAGUAAAGUUAGAGAUGACAGAUUUUGACGUCAUUCUCGGCAUGGAUUGGCUUCAUUCAUGCUAUGCUUCAGUUGACUGCAGAAAUAGAGUUGUCUAUUUUCAGUUUUCGAAUAAACCUAUCCUAGAAUGGAGGGGUAGUACUUCAGCACUUAGGGUUUAGCUUAUUUCCUACCUAAGGGCGAGGAAAAUGAUAUCCAAGGGGUGCAUCUACCAUCUUGUUUGAGUUAAGGAUUUUAGUUCCGAGACUCCUAGUCUUAAGUCAGUUCUAGUAGCAUGUAAAUUUUUAGAUGUGUCUCCUGAAGAUCUUCCUAGAGUUCCUCUCAAGAAAGAAAUUGACUUCAGAAUAUACCUUUCUGAUACUCAGGCUAUCUCUAUCCCUCCAUAUAGAAUGGCCCUAGUAGAACUCAAAGAGUUAAAAGAACAGUUGAAGGAUCACCUAGAUAAGUGAUUCAUCAGAUCCAGCGCAUCUCUUUGGGGUGUACCAAUUCUAUUUGUGUGUAAGAAAGACGGUUCUCUCAGAAUAUGUAUUAACUACUGUCAGUUGAACAAAGUCACAGUCAAGAACAAGUAUCCACUUCCCAAAAUUAAUGACUUGUUUGACCAACUUCAGGGUGCCAAUUACUUUUCUAAGAUAAACCUUAGAUCAGGAUAUCAUCAGCUCAGACUAAGAGAAUGUGACAUUUCAAAAAUAGUCGUCAAACCUUGGUAUGGUCACUUUGAAUUCCUAGUCAUGUUAUUUGGUCUUACCAAUGCCCCAGCAGCUUUCAUGGACUUGAUGAACCAUGUGAUCAAGUAGUACUUGAACAUAUUUGUCAUAGUCUUCAUUGAUAACAUUCUUUUCUACUCUUGCAGUGAACAUGAUCAUGCAAACCAUCUCAGAAUAGUGUUACAGACCCUCAGAGCCCAUCAGUUCUUCACCAAAUUCAGUAAAUGUGAAUUUUGGCUAAGGUUUGUAGCUUUUCUUGGUCAUAUCAUUUUCGGUGAUGGCAUUAGAUUUGACCCUUAAAAGACCGAAGUAAUGAGAAACUGGCCUAGACCCAUCUCUCCAUUAGAUAUCAGGUGUUUCUUAGGUUUGGCUGGCUAUUACCGACGAUUUGUGAAAAGGUUUUUAUCUAUUGCAUCCCCGAUGUCCAGAUUGACUCAGAAGAAAGUUAAGUUCCAGUGGUCAGACUCUUUUGAGAAAAGUUUUCAGGAGUUGAAGACUCGACUCACUACAACCCCAGUUUUGAAUUUAUCAGAUGGUUCGAUACUUCCAGAGUUGGCUUGGGGUGUGUUUUGAGGCAGAGAGGUAAGGUCAUAGCCUAUGCCUCUAGAUAACUUAAGCCCAUGAAAAGAACUAUACCACUCAUGAUCUUAAGUUAGCAGCUGUUGUGUUUGCCUUAAAGAUUUGGAGGCACUAUUUGUAUGGAGUACAUGUGGAUGUGUUCACAGACCAUAAAAGCCUGUAGUAUGUGUUUUCUCAGAAAAAUAAGAACCUACGUCAGAUAAGGUGGUUAGAGUUAUUGAAAGAUUACGACAUAAGUGUUCUGUAUCAUCCGAGCAAGGCCAAUGUAAUGGCUAAUGCUCUCAGUAGGAUAUUUAUGGGUAGUGUUGCUCACAUGGUAGAUAGUAAGAGGAAGUUAGUUCGAAAAGUUCAUCAGUUUGCCCGACUAGGUGUCUGCUUAGUCGAUUCAGCAGAGGGUAGUGUUUGUGUGCAGAAUAGAUUGGAAUCAUCUCUAGUUUUUGAAUUAAAAGAAAAGCAGGACAGGGAUCCCAGUUUAGUUAAACUGAAAGAGUCAGUCAGAGAUCAGGAAGUAGAAGUUUUCUCCCAAUGGGAAGAUAUUGUGUUACGCUACCAGGGUACACUAUGUGUGUCAUAUGUGGAUGGUGUAAGACAACAGAUUCUUGCAUAAGCGCAUUGUGCGCGCUACUCGAUUCACCCCAGGGCCACCAAGAUGUACUGCAACUUAUGAGAAAUCUAUUGGUGGAGUGGGAUGAAGAGGAACACUACAGAGUUUGUAGCUAAGUGCUCAACAUGUCAGCAGGUCAAGAUCGAGCAUCAAAAUCCUAGUGGGUCUAUGCGGGAGUUUAGUAUUUCCACUUGGAAGUGGGAGAAAGUGAACAUGGAUUUUGUGAUGGGUUUACCCCAUACUCGUUGCCAGCAUGAUUUGAUUUGGGUCAUUGUGGAUAGGAUGACCAAAUCAUCUCAUUUCUUACCAGUUCAUAACUCUUAUUCAGCCGAGGAUUAUGCCAAGCUUUAUGUCAGAGAGUUGGUUAGAUUGCACGGAGUUUUGUUGUCCAUUAGUUCAGAUAGAGGUAUGCAGUUCACCUCUCACUUUUGGAAAGCCUUCCAAAAGGGUCUUGAUACCCAAGUUCACCUUAGUACAACCUUCCAUCCUCGGACAGAUGGUCAAGCAGAAAGAACCAUCCAGACUCUAGAAGAUAUGUUAAAAGCGUGUGCCAUCGACUUUAAGGGUAGUUGGGAUGACCACUUGCCUUUGAUUGAGUUUGUGUAUAAUAACAUCUAUCACUCUGGCAUUCAGAUGGUUCUGUUUGAGGCGCUCUAUGGGAGGAGACGUGUAGUCUCCCGUUAGUUGUUUUAAAUGGGGUGAGACCGCUAUGGUAGGGCCUGACUUAGUAUUUGAUGCCUUAAAAAAAGUUCAGUAUAUCAGGGAAAGGCUUAAGACAGCUCAGAGCCUACAAAAAUUGUAUGUAGAUGUGCAAAGAAAAGAUUUCGAGUUUGAGAUUGCUGAUUUUGUGUAUUUGAAACUCUCACCUAUGAAGGGAGUGAAGAGGUUUGGCAAGAAGGGGAAACUCAGUCCCUGAUAUAUCGGUCCUUACCGAAUCCUCAGUCGUUUGGGAAAGGUAGCUUACGAGCUCGAGUUGCCUUCAGACUUAGCUUCAGUGCACUGAGUGUUUCACGUCUCCUUGAUUAAGAAAUGCAUUGGUGACCCAGUAGUUGUAAUCCCUACAGAGGGUAUAGAUGUUCAGAACAGUCUCUCUUAUGAAGAAGUUCCAGUCAAAAUUCUUGAUCAUCAGGUUUGCAGACUGAGAAACAAAGAAGUUCCUCUAGUCAAAGUUCUUUGGCAGAACAGUCUGUUGAGGGAGCUACUUGGGAAGCAGAAGCAGAUAUGCGGACCAGUAUCCUCACCUCUUCUCCGCAAACUCAGACUCAGCUCAAGGUAAUAGUUUUCCUUAAAUUACUCAGUUCCAUGCUCAGAUUACCUUUACAAACUUGGUAACAUUCUCAUAUCAUGCAUACCUUCAUGAAACAGCUCAGUCAUGUGUCAUGUCUUCAGAAUUCAGUCAUGCUUCAGUUAUGCAUGUUCAGUAUAAAAACCCAGUAUAUCAGUAGUUUCAGUCAUGAAAUCAUGCUUCAGUUGUGCAUGUUCAGCAUGUAAAUUCAUUCUAUCAGUAUUCUCAACUUAGUCGGUCUAAUUCAAGAAUGAAUAUUUCCAAGGAGGAGAUAUUGUAAGACCCUACAAAAUCCUAGCUUAACUCAGUCCUUUAAAAUAUGAAAAGAGGUUCCAGACUUAGAAAUUACAGCUAAGUGUUUAUGCUUAGAAUUAAUUUUAGCCUUCAUAAUUUGGCAAUCUUAUUUUAUGACCCUUAUGACCUUAAAAUGUCAAUCUUUUGAUUUAAUAAUGAUCAAGUGUGUCAAUAGGUCACUUCGGGUGAGUUUCGAAUUUUUCGAACAUCGUUUGAAGCAUAUUUGGGUGACCAAAAUAGUGGAUCGACGCGAUCUUGACGCGUUGCAUCGCCUAUCGAAUAUUUUCCCCAACACUCAAUGUAAAUUCCAGUGACCCAACGCAAACGCGAUGUGGUACGUCGGCCAUUGCGUUGACACCAUCAAUGCGACAUGUCGAUAUGCGCAUCGCUGGGCACAUUUUUAGUAAUUAAAAACCCACGUCCAGGGGGUAAUUGGGCCUUUUACCCACCCUUAUUCAGCCCCAAAAAUACGAGAUUAACCUACCCUAAAGGCUAAAUCACUCAUUCUCUCUCAAAUUUUCUCAAGAACAAACGUUAGAGCAUCAAAUUUCAAAUUCAAUCUUCAAGAACACACCAUCAAUCUUCACGAAUUUGAUUACCAAGGUAUGUUAGGUGUCCAUCCAGGAGUUUCCUUCCACCUUUGGAUUUCAAGAACCUCUUUUAAAACUACAAGUUGAUUGAUUUCAUGAAUUUCAUGUUGAAUUCGAUAGUAUUCAUGAUUAUGAUUUUUUUGGGUUUCUAAUCCAUGAUUUAUUACAAGUUUCGUUUGAAGUAAUUAAUAUGUGUGUAGUGUUAUGUGGAUUUAUGUUAAAAUCCCCUUAAAUUUGUGAGUUGGGAUUGUGAUCAUGAUGCUUACAUGUUGAUUAUUAUUAUGCGCAUAAAUUAUGCUCCCCAGGUGUUUGAUAAAAUAUUCAUGUAAGUUGAAGGGUGAAAUCAUGACAUAAUAGUAUGUGCACAAGUUCAUGCCUCUCAAGUGUUUGACAAAAGAUCUAAAUGAAAGCAUUGUUAACAAGCUACUAUUGUUAUGUUAUUAUGACCAUGCCAUGUUUUACUUUCAAUGCUAUUAGGUCCUGGGGGUAUCCAAUACCCAAAAUCUAGCUGUUUACCUAGAAUUUUAGUAGCUACAGAAUAGUCUCAGUAAUGUCACAACCAGUAGUACUCAGUUAGUUACAGAACUCAGUGAACUCAGUCUAGUUUAAUUAGACCUCACAAUCAAUAACAGUUCAAUCAAGCCUAGAACAGUCUAGAAAUCAAUUCAAUAUCUAUUCAGUUGGGAGUAGAAAUCAGCACCAAGCGAACCCAAAGAUAGGGGUAUUCUUGCCAGUAGAGGGUUUGAACCUUAGUAGCAAUCCCUGCGUUAUAGAACUGUGUAUCUAACAUAGGUUGAGAUAUUUUUCUGCCAGACAAGGGUUGAUACAUCUCGUACGAGUUUUCCUGCCAGUGAGGGUUGACGAAUUGUCUUUCUGCCAGAUAGCGUUAACUCACAGCUAAUGUUAGUAUCUCUUAGCAACGUGCUAACAUCCUUCUAACUGGGAUCACAGGUUGGACCCCAACUCAGUUUAUAAUCGGGUGUGUCGGUUAGAUAAACACUCCCGUUGUUACAGUUUCAAUUUCAAACUCAGUAUAGAACUCAAUUUAGUACUACAGAAUCAAGACUUUCAGACACAAUCACCCAGCUCAGUAGAGAACUCAGUUCAGUUCUACAGGAUCAGGACUGUCAGAAACAGUCACCCAGCUAUCAGUAAUGCAGUUAUCAGAAAAACUCAGAUAUCACUCAUUUAGUUAUCAGAACUCAGUACCCAGUAUUAUUAUGAUCUCAGUUAUAGUAUAUGUAGUUAUGUGCACAGUAUUGCAUAAUCAGUGUUUCAACAGUUUUAGUCAUGCAUGUACUCUCAUCUAGUUAUAUUCAUAGUAUUCAGCCAGUUAUUAUUCAUGCAUAUGAACCCUUGCAUAUCAGUCUACCUCACUUAGCAUACCAGUACAUUCAAAGUACUAACACAUACUCUUUAUUUUGCGCUAUGAUGUCUUAUAUCAUAGGUUCAGACGCACGGGCUCCUGACCGUACUUAGCAGCUCAGACUAUCUGCAACAGAUAUAGUGGUGAGUCCUCAUAGUUCGAGGACAGAGUUAUCAUUUCAAUUUUAUUUUCAGUAAUUCAGUAUGUUCAAUAGUCGGAGUUAGUUGGGGACUUGUCCCAUCAACUCCAUAUUUAAACAGUUAGAGGCUUUCAGACUAAGACUAUUUCAGACAGAUGUUCAGUUUUCAGUAUUCAUUUAUCAGAAUUCAAUUUCAGUUGGGAACUUUAUGGCAAAUUUCAUCCCAAUUUCCGAAUUUCUUCAGUAUUAUUAUGCAGUGUAUAUAGCAGCUACCAGUCAUGAAUUAGCUUAUGGUCCUUCGAGAUUGUAAGCACCGUUUUAUGCUCAGGGUACAGACUCAAGGUAUUACAGUCACUUAUCUAUUAACUUAAUAUUACUAAGUGAUAAAAUAAUAAUCAAACAAGACGCGCAACUUAGCUAUUUUUUAAAUUACUAAUUAUCUAAGUGAGAGAAUAUUACAUAAAGAUAAAUCAGGCAAGCAAAGAGAGAGAAAUGACAUAGUCAAUAUAACAAAGGUAUUUUCUAAAUAAGAGGACCUAAACUACCCCAAAUAAUUAAAAUAUUCAAAGUGGGUAAAAGAACCGACAAAUUCAACAGGUUGGACAAAAAUUUAUUAUUUUUAUUCAAAUCAACACGCAUCUUAUUAACGGGAGUCACAUUAUCGAAUCAUGCUCUGGUCAACUUUCAUUAUUUUUUAAAGUCUAUCCACCUUCCUCCUCCCCCUUACCUAAUUUGUUUAUUAAGCUUAGAGACAAUCUAAAUGAAAUGAUAAAACUAGUUUUCCCUAAAAUCCCUAAAUGUCCAAGAGGCAUUGAACUUUUUACUUUGAAUUUGGGAUCUAGACAAAGAAAAUUAGGCUUUCGAGUUAGACUCAAGGUUCUAGUUAAACACAUUGGACAACACGUAGCACAAAAUCGUCUCAAAUAAAGUCUCUUGAUUAGUUAAGAGUAGAUUAGGUGAUUAAAAUUAUGACAAGCAAUUAUUUAUUUUGUAAUGAAACCCAUAGUCAUGAUAUCUAAAAUUAUCAAACAACCAAUUAAUGUCAGAAAUUAAUUAGUUAAAUCCUAUAUGCAUGAUACAAAGUGAUAAAUAUUUGCUUAUCAUUUUCGAAAAAUAAUUAUUAAAUCAUUUCAAAAUAAUGUGUGAAAUUUUUAAAACUAAAAAGCAUGUCAAGUUAAGUUAAUAUGUUCGCGAAUUAGAUCAAUCUCACCAUAAAGGAAAUAAAUUAGACAUGUUGAAAAUUAGUCAACAAAAAGGCUGGAAAAUACAUUUAAAUGCUGGACGUUAAAAUUAAAUACUGGAAAUGAAAGUUAUAUAGAAUGAAGUUUUAAUGGUGAAAAUACUAUUUAAAUGCCGAAAGUUAAAAUUUAGUUGCUGAAAAUUUCAUUUAAAGGCUAAAAAAUAAUUUUAAUUGCUGAAAAAAUAAUUUUAUAUUGCUUGAAUUCAUUUCUUAAAUGCUGGAGAUUCAUUUUAACAUGGUAGAAAAAGUAAUUUAAUAUACUGAAACUCAUUAUUUAGUUGCUAGAAAAUAAACUAAAUACUGUGGAAAAUGAAUUAAAGUGCAGGAAUUUUAAUUUUACCGCUGACAAAUAAAUUAAAUAUGUUGAAAGUUGAUUUAAAUGCUAGGUAAUAAAUUAAAGUGCUAAAACUUGAUUUAAAUGCUGACAAAUGGGUCAAAUAUGCUGAAAACUAAUUUAGUCUCUAGAAAAUAAAUUAAAGUUCUGAAAAUAAAUCAAAUGUGCUAAAAAAAUUAGUUAAACACGUUAUAAGUUAAAGUUGAUAUGCUCGAAGUCGAUUUUAAUUUGUAAAGUUAAUUAUUAACCUAAAACAUGCUUUCUAGGCGACAAACAUAUCAUUUAAUAAUUCCUAAAUUACAUUUGCCUAAGUGAUUCACAUAAUCACGUAAAGCCCGUAAACCCCGCCCCCUACCAGUCCCAUAAUUUUUAUUAUCAAUACGUCAUUUGUACAAUAAAUUAUUUCAGACCCAUAGAAAAAAAGCGCAAAAGAGAUUAAAAAAAACAUAAGAAACUAGACAACAUUUCCAAUUUCUCGGUGAGUCUUCAUCCACGCCGAAGGCUAGAUAGUAUCUGUAGGACAAAGGCAGCUUAUCCCAAAUGCACAACAAACAAACAUAUGGAGAAACAAUGAAUUCACCAACAUGUCACAUAAACAACUUUAUAGAGUUUAGAAGGCAAACAGGACAGACACUCAAAAUUAUCAUGUAAUAAGCAAAUGCGUCGUCUAAGGAAACUAACCAGUUUGUAGCAAUAAGCAGUUAAAUAAAAGUCUGAAAAUCAGCACUUUGACCUACACACAGCAGUUGUAGUGAAUAAGACACCGAUCCAAAAUUCCUUUUAAUAAUACUUACCUGAGACAAAAGAACUGAAGAGUAUUUUUAUUUCUUUUGUAUAGAGCAAAGAUAGUUAAAAACUUGGUCUUGUAAUAGCCGAUGAAAAAGUAGAUGAAAAGGGAAGAUGAGGGGGUUCACAUAGCUAAACAACAAUAACAACACAACCAGUAUAUUUCCACAAAGUACGGUGAUUUAUAUAGCUAAGGGUCAGGAAAAUAAAAGGAAGGAGAUUAUUUUAUAGAUCAAUUAAGAAAAAAUAAACAUCUCCGAUUUACCUUAAAAGACAAGUCAGAAUAUAUAUUCAAAUUCAAGAGUAGGGUAAAAAUAUUAAUCAAGCUGUAAAAAUAGGGAUACAGAUGGAUAUUUUCCAUAUACAAUUAAAAACACAGUCACAUCAAACUGGUACAAAACAGGUCCAAUUUACCAUAAUUCAGAGUAACCAUCUACUCAGAAUAAAAUCCAGAUGCUUAGCAGGCAAAAAUCACAAUAUACCAAAAGAAUUAAUAUACUAUUGUAAUUAUGCGAGUAAUUCAAUCAACCGAGUCAAAUUUUUAGAAUCAAAGUUGUGAGGUUACCACGACAGUAGACAAUGGAAUUGCAUGCCUAGGAAAAUCGAUCCCUAAUAUUAAAUAAAAUCUAGGGUUGACGAAAAUUCACAAAAAUUAGGCAUUCUUGCAUAUGUUGAUCUAAACACAUAAACACAUACGAAAUUGAAAGAAUCAAUUCAAAAUUCACAGUCAUAUUUCAUUAAUUUUUAAAUCCAAAGAAAAAAAUCAGUCAGGGGAAAAAUGGGUAGAAAGAGGAAAUUCACAUAUAGCAACAAGCCUGAGACGGAUUCCGAGAUUCAUCAUGGACUUUACUCUUUUUCGACGUCAGUUGGCCGUAGUUUGGAAUAGCAUCGUGGGUAUGGUGUUGUUUUCCAGCGGAGAAUGAUAGACACUUUCCGAAACCCUGUUAGAAAGGUGGCGGCGAUAGGCGGUUCACUGGCUACCGAUGAACGGAGCGACGACUUUUAUUGGAGUUUUGUCAAUUGAGUGGCAACCAUUGGUUGAAGGCAGCGACUGGGAACAUAGAAGUGGGGGCGAGUGUGGUCGCCUUCAACAGCUAGAGCGAAGCAAGGAAGACAGAAGGCUCCGGAGUGGCUCGCUGACCUAAGUCUCAGCUGGAGAAGGAUAUGGUGCUAUCGGAUUCUAGAGAGAAAGAGAGAAAGAGAGGAGAGAAGGGGUUGGCGAUGGGUGGACUGUUGUUGUGGUGGUGGCGCCGGAGGUAAAGAGAAAGGGGGAGAGAGAAAAGGAGAAAAAAUAAAGAGGGCGGUGACAACAAUCAUGGCUGUUGCUGUUAAGGCCAUGGUGUUGAUAGAGGGGGAAGAGAGAGAGGAGAGGGAGGUGCAGUUGUGAGGGAUGAAAUGGUUAGGCUUUGGGGUAAUUGGGUAUAAA
RNAcentral lists this long non-coding RNA (21316 nucleotides) under Capsicum annuum. RNAcentral describes it as "long non-coding RNA (CANN_LNC018420)". The record is from RNAcentral. Lineage: Eukaryota; Viridiplantae; Streptophyta; Magnoliopsida; Solanales; Solanaceae.